Non-coding RNA from Cinara cedri, 713 nucleotides. The record is from the annotation of a GenBank genome assembly. Lineage: Eukaryota; Metazoa; Arthropoda; Insecta; Hemiptera; Aphididae.
AGAAAUAUUAUGACUCAUCGAUAAUUAGUAAAACUAUAUGUUUUACGUACUAACUAUUGUAAACAGGAAGUUGGUAAGAUAAAUGGAUAAUUUAGUUUAUAUCGUUGUAAAUAAAAAACGAUUUUGGGUGGAGCUCAGUGACCUUGACUAUAAGAUUAAAGUUGUUUUUUCUCCGUGUAAUCAAGAAAUCUCAAAAAUCAACAAUUAAAAAAAAAUUAAUUAUGAAAAAUUUAGCUUCGAGAUGUUUUGCAAUCUGGUCGGAUGCAUCUGUCUAUACGUUCGGAAUGUUUUAUUUUUGCAUGCCAUAUCGUCAUUGACUAUUUUUUCAUACCGUGCCAUUUGUUGUCGGUUUUUCCUUAUAUAUUAUUAAAAAAAUAAUAAUAAUAAUAAUAAAAGACAAAAGUAGGUAUUAUAAAUUUAAAUUGGAUGAAAAAUAUAUUUUAUCAGAAACCUCUGUCGAUAUUAUUACUAUUUUUUUUUUUUUUUUUUUAUUGGAGCAAGUAGUAUCUUCUGAUCGAAAUUACUUUAACAGACGGCUAACACCCACACAAUCACAUCAUAUUAUAUACAUAUAUAAUAGUAAAAUCAAUACAUUCCUUCGAGCUCCGUUUAGAAUCUAAAAACGUCGGACACAAAUUGUUAUUAUCUAAUACCCGACAAAGUCUUACGGUAAGUCGGUAACCUUAUUUGAAAACAAUAUCUCAUAUAUUAGA